This 72-nucleotide transfer RNA is filed under the name Hordeum vulgare. RNAcentral's name for it is "tRNA-OTHER". Lineage: Eukaryota; Viridiplantae; Streptophyta; Magnoliopsida; Poales; Poaceae. The record is from RNAcentral.
GCCUUCCUAGCCUAGUGGUUGUGGGUUCGUUUCUAGCCAGGAGGUUGUGGGUUCGUUUCCCACUAGGAGGUU